This is a long non-coding RNA of Oreochromis aureus, 761 nucleotides long. RefSeq lists it as uncharacterized. The transcript has 2 exons. The record is from RefSeq and is a predicted model, not a curated record. Lineage: Eukaryota; Metazoa; Chordata; Actinopteri; Cichliformes; Cichlidae.
GGAGAGAAAAUUCCAGAAACAGGAGCCGCUGGAAUGUGGGACUGAAGUGAUUUGAGCAGAAAUGAUAGGAAUGCGUUAAAUGCAAAUACACACACAUGCACAAGUGUGGCUUAAUUUGCUGGGUUUUGCACACUCUGAUCACUUUGAUUUGGGCCUUAAAUUCAGUCUCUCGAUAUUAUUAUUUUUAACUUCUAUUUAUAUAUUUUUUUCUCUUCGUCUAAAUGAGGCAACAAAACAAGUCAGCGCUGUUGUCAGGUACAUUAGCUAUUCAGUUAUUCUGUUUUUUCUCCCAUCGCAGAAUGCUUGAGUGUCUACAUUUGAAUAUCGACCAGGGCUGUCACACAGCUUUCAGCUCCGGCCAACAAAAACAGCACCUGCCUUUGAAUGUCCAUCAGUGGCCCAUUAACUCAUGUCUGGGGGAAGCAGACUCUUUAAACUGACCAGCGCGUAGCCGGCUGAAAGCCUCCCUUCUACCAGCCCCGUUGACGUAUGGAGAUAAAUGGACUCCGGCCUGCAUUGUCCUGCUGACGCGCUCGCAUUCAGUUUCAGUGGUCUUCGUGACAGGCCCAAUGGUGGGGAGAUGCAAAUGAGACAGAGCAUUCAGAGGAGGGGGGGACCUCCGCUUAUUUCCAUUUUGAUUAUUCAUCGCCUUUGCUCUGCCAUACUUUGUAGCUGCUGUUUGCAAGUUUAUGUUUGCCGUUCACAAAAAUAUUCCCUUAUGUCCUGAAGGUGUUUUUAAGCAAAAAUUUGAGUGAAGCAAA